Molecule: non-coding RNA, 486 nt
Organism: Danio rerio (zebrafish)
Lineage: Eukaryota; Metazoa; Chordata; Actinopteri; Cypriniformes; Danionidae
Source: Ensembl
CACUGUAAAAAAAAUCUGUAAAAUAACAGUUAAAUGACUGUAUAUUUUAACAGAUUUUUUCCGUAUACACGUAUUACGGGUGUUUUUCCGUUUAUAUACAUUUUCGAAUUGCAUUGUGGGAAGGGGAUCGCAGCUCAGACAGCGUUUGAUGGACACCGGGACAUAUUUCUUCCUCUGUUUUUUCCCUGUUGUUUGUCCGUAUUUUUCUAAACUGCCGUGCGCGGGAAGUGGCGUGACGUCCAAUCACCCACUCACUCCCUCUGCACCUGACUGGAUUAACGGUAAACGUCAGUUUGUCUGUAAGAGUGUAAAAGGUGUGUUGGUGUAAAAAUUGAUGCUGACUGAACUCAGGCAGUUGUGCUGGACCCUCUGUACCUUAUACAGGAGAUGACAGUAAACUUUCAAGUUUAAGAGGUAAAAUGUUCAGAAUGUGUUUGCUCUUUCAGAACUCAGGCAGUUGUGCUGGACCCUCUGUACCUUAUACAG